AACUCGGGCUGGGCAGCAUGGCGGCGGCAGGUUUUCCGAGGCUCGCGGUGCGGGCGGAGGGCGGCUCCCGCGUUCAACAGGCUGUGCAAGGAAGCGGACUGGUUUUGUACACGCCGAACUUGUUGCCUGCCAGUAAUUGGAUCGGAGGAUGCACCCCUGGCCCUUGCAGGGCGCCGCAGCCCAGCGGUUUCCCAGUUUAGCCCGGUGGCGGCUGAACCGCAGUUUCCAUUCGGUCAGCCCCGUGUUUUUGCGCCAAGCGACACACCAUCCGGGAGAGGCCCAGGAUGCUCGUGGGAUCCAGCGUUUCGGCAUCUUGAAAAAAGAAAACAUCGAGCACAUCAGCCAGUGAAACUCACUGCGUCCGUUGAAGUCUACGGAAUGCUUGCAUUGGUGUCUACACUUCCCGCUUUCCAGUUUGCAUGAAAGAGGCAGGUGCAUUCUGGAACCGUGACCCCGAUCCUGAUAAAGAACACUUCCGGGCUGCCAAGAGGCCUCAGCUUCCUCCCACCAGUCGUUAACUCCCACCUCAAGCUAUUAAGCACCGGGAAUGAUUCUUUGAACAAAAGAAGGCAUAGGUCCACAUACAGCUGGUGGUUCCACGGAGUUCCCUGGGAACUGAGGCCUCAUACCGCAAGGGUGGUCAUGGAAAGUCAAGGCCCAGAAUGCGGCUAGGCCCGGGCGCCCCCUCCCCUGCUGUGUGCACCCCGGAGACGCCAACCUUGCAGCUGACAAGAAUAUCCCAGGAUCGCGGUUCUUAAGAGCAUUUUUACGCCUGAUUAGUGACGGGUCCUGAGAGGAUUUGACAUGACAUGCCGUCAGGAAGACAAAAGCCGCUGCCGUAGGGAUGUGUUACAGGCUCGCUGAGGCAAUUUGGAAGAAUAAGGACUGUCAAAAGCAAUCAGACCCACAGCAGAGUCUCUAUUAACUCUGGGGGAAGACACUUGGCAGAGCUGAGCGCAGUGGCUGCCCUGACGGGUGACAGCAGCGGGGACCCGGCCGGCACAGGCUAACCUUUCAGAUCACGAUGUGGACCAGAAGACUCUGCCCACCUGCAGAGAUCCCGAGAUCCCCUUUUCCCUCCAAGUAGCGGCCGGUCAUGCAAAACCCAGGGCCCGGUUGGCUCACCAACUUUUAAGGGAAUGGUCAAGUCUGAGGGAAGAGCAGGCCAAAAAAGACUUUGCGAAACUGCCACUUGCUCCAUCAGUCUGCGUAGAGAGAGUUCUCCUCUCGAACAUGUUUUUGUUUCCUGGGGCGGAACAUUGCCACGUGCCCAAACCGUCGUUACCCAGCCGCACCUUGAGCACUGUGCUCUCGGACCGACGUGAGAUGAUCGAUGGUGGAGGUUAAGAGGGCGGCCGUCUGGAAGACGGCCCAAGUUUAGGAACAGACGGCGGCGGAGCUGGGGUUGCAACCUGGUCAGAUGCCCUUGAAUGUGAGGAAUGUGGCAGCAGUGGCACCCGGUGUUUGGGAUCAACAGAAGGUAAGGUGUUGGGUUCCCCGCGUCCUCUGCUCUAUCUCCACUACUCACGGAGCCUCACCAGCCGGGAGGGGGGUCACGUGUGCGUGAGCUUAUGGAUAAGCAGAACCAGCAUGACAUUAGAUUUAUGCAGCCAUACAGCCACCGUAGGGAAUAAUAAUAACAUCAUUUUGAAGAGCAUUACAUUUUUAAAGUCGAUAAAAGAAUUCCUUUGAAAACAUAAAAUUGUAUUUCUCACUUGCUAAUACAAUUCCAACACACAAUUUGCUUCAUCAGAAGCAUAGGCUAAAUUACACCAAGGGGUUUCUACUUGCAGUCAUUCACAUAUUAUUUAUAAUUUACUCUACAUAAGGCUCUUUCAUGUACAAUUUGAAUGCUUCAUUUUUAGCUAAAGAACAUCAAACCAUUUACUAUUGCUAUUUCACAUUUACCCCCUUUUCCAAAAUCGGACGACAUAUUUUUCUUGGGGCGCAGUGUUUCGCCUAGGAAUAAAAGGUUUAGCUAGCGACGGUAAAGCAGAGAACAGAUUAAUAAACUGUUUGGAAGGGUCGAGAAAACCCACGUCCUCCAUGAGGUUUCCAUGAGCUCUUGAGGCUCUCCGUGAGCGCUCCACGAAGAGAGCUGCGGACGCUGGCUUCCCUUCGGUUUAUGACCAGAUGAUGGACCGCACACCUCCCGUAUCAGCAGGCCCGGCUCACGCACCCCUUCCAGGGGAGACACAGGCGGGGAGCAACUCCCCCCAGCAGGCCCCAGCCAGACUGGGUCUCCCCAUGUGAAAAAGCCCAAACGUUGACCGUAUUGAAAUAGUUUUGUUUUUAAGUGUGGGAUGCACAUUGAAAACAUUGGGGGGUGAACCAAGGCACUAAUACGUGGCGUCCAGUCUGCUGAUACACUUUGUGGGUCAGCGGUAAGGGAAGAGUCACAGCUUGAAAUGCUUUCCGCGUCUUCCCACACUCGAGUGUGUCUCAUCUGAUAACGAAAAUUCGUGCUGACAAGCAGCGUAAUAUUUUAACAAAACAAUACUUUUAGACCUAUAUUCUACCGCCCCCUCCUUUUUUGUGAAGUUUUAAACGAAUGCUAAAGACUCCGGGCUUCUUGAACUUCGAGCAUUUUCUUCUCCGGUUCUCAUAUCAAGUUAAAUAAAAUGAGAGCAGCCAGGGGCACCUGGGUGGCUCAGUCGGUUGACAAUGUCCAACUCUGGAUUUCAGCUCCGGUCUCGAUCUCGGGGUGGCGAGUUCAGGCCCCACGCCAGGCGUGGAGCCUACUUUAAAAAAAAAAAUUAAAGGAGCUCACUAUUUAAAACAAGAUCAUUCUCUUCAUUAAAAAAACUGUACAUUUUUAACUUUUAUUUUGGAUGUAUGAAGCGUUUAGUGAAACGUCUUUAAACAUUCCAUAAAAACCUCUUAAUCAAAGGAUGAAAGCUCUUUUUUUAUUAUACCUUUAGCUUUUUCAAGGUGCAUUCACGGUCGUAAACUUCAUAGGUGGACCAUCACUGUGGAAAUGAGAGAAAAACAGGAUUGUAGGACAAAGAGAAGGAGCUUUCUUGUAAAGAGAGGAGAAAUUCAUGCACAGUCUUGCCCCUGAUAAAUCAACAUAUGAUCAUCUGAAAGGCAAUUACAUCAUAUUGGGAGCUUCUCUACAGCCCCAGCCAAAAUACCAGAGCUGCUUCGAAGGCAGCAGUGUUUAUGUAGUAAACAUGCAAUUGAAAGUAAAACUCAUCUGUAGUCAAAGGAACUUUUUAUUAAGAAAGAAAAGAAUCACUCAAAAAUAACGUCCCGUUCUAAACCAGUAGGAUGUCACUGGGGUUCUAAGGAGGCUUUGUAGGGUAAUGUAUAAUGCAACAUGGACAGUUUCUCAAAUGCAACAGGACAGGAGCUAAUUAUGUAAUUAGUCUUUGUUCAUUAUACAUGUGUGAUAUAAUCAGAUUUAGGGAUAAUAUGAAACUAUGAAACCUCAGGUCUUGUCACGUUAAAUUGAUGAGAAAAAUUAUUGCUUAAAGAGACCUUAUGACAUAUUAAUAAAUGGGUAUAGUCUGUAAGGAAUAUUAACAAAACCUGUCUGAACGAGAUUAUAAAUCUCCAGUGAGUUUUUAAAUUACUCAUGCCUCCAGGACACAGAAACACCAACUACUGGAUUGUAGCCAUGUCAGAUUUGCAGCUACAAGGCUUUAAAAAAAAAUAGCAAGAUAAAAGGCAAUGCUUAAUUAAAUGUGUCCACAGAUAAAUCCCAGGUUAGGUUAAUUUUGUGCCUGUGCAACGAAAGUGCGCCUGCGGGCAUUGCAAAAUGGCACGGGCUCGAUCUCAAACCGUAAGGAAGGCCCUCCAAGAGCAAACUCGAAGCACAAAUACAUCCAGUAUUUAUUUAAUAUCUUACUAGACAUACUUCUUGCAGGAAGAACAAACUUACGUGGAUGAUUUACAGUUUCAGUUAGAAACUGUUUUCUCAGGCACUUUGUUGAUUUCUGCAAACGCCAAUCACGGGGGACGUAUUUACAGCAAAUAGUAGAGAUUUGGUUUAUUUCCACAUGCUUUAGAUUUCUUAAUUCGGUUUGUCUUUACAAAUGGUGAAGCUCAAGCCUGCCCGGAUGAAGUCCCUUGGACCAAGUCAUGAAUCUGGUGAAUUCUUCCUGUACCGUGGGUUUGAACCCAGGCGGGAAACUGGCUGUAACUCAGUUUUACAAGUGCAAGCAUACGGAUAUUUACGGCCUCUAAUGGUCUCUAAGAAAAGUAGCUCCGUUGAAUAAAAAGCCGUUUGGGUAAACAUAAGCAUAGCAAUGAGAACUUCAGCAAAUCAUCAAAGAACGUGAGAGGUGACUUAGCACCUACUUAUUUUAAAUACCCACCCUUAUCAUUUUCCUUGGCCCUGCUGAGAAGUAGAAGUCUACAUUCAUGAAUGAGAUCUGUGAGAAAGCACACAGUUCUCGGCUUCUGUCACGUGAGGGUGACAUCAAGAGGAAGUGUGAUUGGCCACUAUGUAGAAGAGGAACGUUCACUGCUGUGUGAAGUGGUAUUUCCAGAAACUUCUACCAAUGCCUAAGAAUUCAUUCUUCUUAGGGAAGGUGAUGCCGCUUUACCUUUCACGGUUCUGGCUUGGGUAUUCCAAGUGACCUUGGAUGACGUUUCGUGGGCGUGGUUGGUGAGGAACAGUGGCACUGAUCUAGCUCCUGUCUCCUAGUAAAGAGCUGUGAACUCCCCUGGGCGGAAGCUGGGCUGUACCACCCGGCCUUCCGCAGAACGCUCACAGCAUUCAAUCCACCCUGCAGACCAGACUGCUGACUGCUGAUUUAGAAAACCUUCUUGAAAGCCUCAUGACCUAUAGCUUGGAGAUAGAAUUGGCAACUCACAUUUCCUUUCAGAUGGAUUUGUUGACUGUCCCAAGGAAGAUACUAGCAAGAUUCCUCUCAUUCGUUCAUUCCUUCAUUCACUCUAAAUUUGCACUAUGUGGAGAAAGCUUUCAUACACUUCUUCCAAAAUGUGCAGCCAGUUAGAGGCAUUCCAGGGUAAUUGUUUGUCUUAGAAUCGGUGGGCAGGGCUCCGAAUCUCCAUCCAGAGCUCCUAUGUCCAUUUUAACCCAUGUUUUAUAUCAUGGCACGGCUGGAAGAAGCAAGGACAGGACCCCUUCGCUUAAAUAAAAGUUUUUGCUUUUAUGUUUUAAACAAUGACCCAGAUUUUUCCAACCUUAAAUCCAAGUUUAAGCGUGGCGCUACCCAAUUGGUAUCAUUAAGCACACAGCUGCCAAUACUAUUAAAAGUGCUGGCAUACAUUUUUUUUUGCACAGAAGUAUAUUUCUUUGAAUAUUAUUUACAGUUAAUCGCUUUGUUAUUUUUCUUCCAUACCUAUUAUGCUAUAUUUUGUCAUAUCUAAUCAGUGCUAUUAUAUGUGCAUCUUAAUUGACGAUAUAAUAGUCAAAAUUGUAGCAAUUCAAAGUUUUUAAGGUCACUAGUUAGUUUUAUUAUUUAAAGAAAUUGCUAAUAUUUUUGUCCCGGAUAUGUCAGGGGCAAGAAUUGGUGAAGGAGCAGAGGACUGUGGUAUAGGGCUGAGGGUGGUUGAAUAGAGCAACGGGAAAGAACUAGUUCAUGCUUCAGAAACGUGGCUAGCACUACUCAGGUUCAACGCGGGUAGAAGUUACCUCCUUGGUUCAAUAAAUAUUUGGAAUAUUGUCCAUCAUGUUAUUUUGAACUUCUCACUCCAUUUAACUCCACCCUCCUCCAUCACAUGUAGCUUCCUCACUUUGAGUAGUUUUUCAUGGACCAGCUGUGGAACAUCAUCAAGAUCCCACGGCCAAGAGUGAGGAAGAAGGAAUAAAUUAUCUAGAUGCCCUAUAUGACUAGGAAAAAACAAAUUCAGUUAUUUAGACCUUAGUCACUCCCUUAUAAACAUAUUCUCUUAAAUACGUCCACUACCUAUAUCAAUGUUCUGUUCUUCAUGAAGAAAUCUACAUAUUUUUCUAAAUAUUCCUUUGGCUAACCCAGUUUUGACACUUGCUUUCCCUUGUGCUGAGAAGUUGCAGGAGAACAUGUCCCUACACUCUGACACUGGGAUUCUCUGCACCUAAGCUGUUAGAAGAGUGAGGACCCUGCCUACCUGAUGGAGACUGAAUUUCUUUGGUCCAAGAAAUUAAUUGACCACAAAUCACUGCCUACAGUAGUUUACAACCAAAGCAAGUAAAUGUGUACUUACUUGUGCACCUGUUUAGUGUCUAUCUUUCCUCAUAGAAGAUAAAGCCCAAGAUAGCAGAGCCUUUGUUACUUCAUUCACUAACAUGUAGGACAGAAUGGAGCAUAGGUCCUGGCAUGUAGUAACUGCUAAUAAACAUUUGUAGGAAUAACCACUGGAUGGCUAGAGGCACACGUGGAGAGAUAGAUGGGUGGGUAGAUGAGUAGAUGGACAGAUGGAUGGAUGGAUGGGUGGAUGGGAGGGCAGGUGGAUGAUGGCAUUCCCUGCAUCACUUUCUUGGAACUUUGGUUUGAGGAAUUACAUUGACUGUCUUUGAAGACUAUUUUGAUGAGAGAGCCGCUUCGUAGACAAAACUAGAUGUGAUCCUUCUAAAACUGUACUCUGCUUAAUAUGGGAAGAAUGAUGCACCAAUAUAUUGGUCCUAAAAUGAUCUUACUUUUCAAUAAAACAGCUUUUAUGCGAGUUUUUGCAAUGUAAAAGAGAUUGUCGUUUAAAUAGCACUGCUGAUAGACUUUUGAGCUAAAAUAGCUCAACAUGCUUGUCAUUAUAUCUUCAGGUCAUUUAAAAUUAACAUUCAGCUGGGGAGCCUGAGUGGCUCAGGCAGUUAAGUGUCCAACUUCAGCUCAGGUCGUGCUCUCACAGUUCAUGAGUUUGAGCCCCGCGUGGGGCU
This is an RNA transcript of Felis catus (domestic cat), 6823 nucleotides long. It is a transcript of the gene named germinal-center associated nuclear protein-like, with no coding region annotated. The record is from RefSeq and is a predicted model, not a curated record. Lineage: Eukaryota; Metazoa; Chordata; Mammalia; Carnivora; Felidae. The transcript is spliced from 6 exons.